Molecule: ribosomal RNA, 374 nt
Filed under: uncultured organism
Description: partial 16S ribosomal RNA
Rfam family: Bacterial small subunit ribosomal RNA
Source: RNAcentral
GUAGGUGGCAAGCGUUGUCCGGAAUUAUUGGGCGUAAAGCGCGCGCAGGCGGUUCUUUAAGUCUGAUGUGAAAGCCCACGGCUCAACCGUGGAGGGUCAUUGGAAACUGGAGAACUUGAGUACAGAAGAGGAAAGCGGAAUUCCACGUGUAGCGGUGAAAUGCGUAGAGAUGUGGAGGAACACCAGUGGCGAAGGCGGCUUUCUGGUCUGUAACUGACGCUGAGGCGCGAAAGCGUGGGGAGCAAACAGGAUUAGAUACCCUGGUAGUCCACGCCGUAAACGAUGAGUGCUAAGUGUUAGGGGGGUUUUCCGCCCCCCUUAGUGCUGCAGCUAACGCAUUAAGCACUCCGCCUGGGAGUACGGCCGUAAGGCUG